CCGGCACGGGUGAGUAACACGUAUCCAACCUGCCGUCUACUCUUGGCCAGCCUUCUGAAAGGAAGAUUAAUCCAGGAUGGCAUCAUGAGUUCACAUGUCCGCAUGAUUAAAGGUAUUUUCCGGUAGACGAUGGGGAUGCGUUCCAUUAGAUAGUAGGCGGGGUAACGGCCCACCUAGUCAACGAUGGAUAGGGGUUCUGAGGGGAAGGUCCCCCACACUGGUACUGAGACACGGACCAG
RNAcentral lists this ribosomal RNA (239 nucleotides) under uncultured bacterium. Its description in RNAcentral is "partial 16S ribosomal RNA". It matches the Rfam family "Bacterial small subunit ribosomal RNA", at positions 100 to 334 of the family's 1533-position model. The record is from RNAcentral.